Molecule: ribosomal RNA, 253 nt
Filed under: uncultured bacterium
Lineage: Bacteria
Description: partial 16S ribosomal RNA
Rfam family: Bacterial small subunit ribosomal RNA
Source: RNAcentral
UACGAAGGGGGCUAGCGUUGUUCGGAAUCACUGGGCGUAAAGCGCACGUAGGCGGUAUAGCAAGUUAGGGGUGAAAUCCCGAGGCUUAACCUCGGAACUGCCUUUAAAACUGCUAUGCUGGAGUCUCGGAGGGGAUGGUGGAAUUUCCAGUGUAGAGGUGAAAUUCGUAGAUACUGGAAGGAACACCGGUGGCGAAGGCGGCCAUCUGGACGAGUACUGACGCUGAGGUGCGAAAGCGUGGGGAGCAAACAGG